GUGGGGAAUAUUGGACAAUGGGCGAAAGCCUGAUCCCGCCAUGCCGCGUGUGUGAAGAAGGUCUUCGGAUUGUAAAGCACUUUAAGUUGGGAGGAAGGGCAGUAAGUUAAUACCUUGCUGUUUUGACGUUACCGACAGAAUAAGCACCGGCUAACUUCGUGCCAGCAGCCGCGGUAAUACGAAGGGUGCAAGCGUUAAUCGGCAUUACUGGGCGUAAUGCGCGCGUAGGUGGUUUUGUAAGUUGGAGGUGAAAUCCCUGGGCUCAACCUGGGAACUGACUCCAAAACUGCAUGACUAGAGUACGGUAGAGGGUAGUGGAAUUUCCUGUGUAGCGGUGAAAUGCGUAGAUAUAGGAAGGAACACCAGUGGCGAAGGCGACUACCUGGACUGAUACUGACACUGAGGUGCGAAAGCGUGGGGAGCAAACAGGAUUAGAAACCCCUGUAGUCC
Molecule: ribosomal RNA, 450 nt
Filed under: uncultured bacterium
Lineage: Bacteria
Description: bacterial SSU rRNA
Rfam family: Bacterial small subunit ribosomal RNA
Source: RNAcentral